RNAcentral lists this ribosomal RNA (551 nucleotides) under uncultured archaeon. RNAcentral describes it as "bacterial SSU rRNA". It matches the Rfam family "Archaeal small subunit ribosomal RNA", at positions 56 to 592 of the family's 1478-position model. The record is from RNAcentral.
AGUUGUAUGGGAUACCUAAAUUUCCCAUGGCAAACUGCUCAGUAACACAUGAUCAACUUGCCCCAUAGAGAAAAGUAACCUCGGGAAACUGAGGAUAAUAUUUCAUAGUUGAAAAGGCUUGGAAAAGUUUUUCAAUAAAAUGGAUAAGGAAAAUGGUCUUUAUCUGCUAUAGGAUAGGAUCGUGUUCGAUUAUGGUUGUUGGUGAGGUAAUGGCUCACCAAGCCGAUAAUCGAUAGGGGCCGUGAGAGCGGAAGCCCCGAGAUGGGUACUGAGACAGCGACCCAGGCCUUACGAGGCGCAGCAGGCGCGAAACCUCCACAAUACACGAAAGUGUGAUGGGGUUACCCAAAGUGUUCUAUUAAGAACUGUGGUAGGUGAGUAAUGUUCCCUACUAGAAAGGAGAGGGCAAGGCUGGUGCCAGCCGCCGCGGUAAAACCAGCUCUUCAAGUGGUCGGGAUAAUUAUUGGGCUUAAAGUGUCCGUAGCCGGUUUAGUAAGUUCCUGAGUAAAUCGGGUAGCUUAACUAUCUGCAUGCUAGGAAUACUGCUAUAC